RNAcentral lists this ribosomal RNA (500 nucleotides) under uncultured bacterium. RNAcentral's name for it is "partial 16S ribosomal RNA". It matches the Rfam family "Bacterial small subunit ribosomal RNA", at positions 29 to 523 of the family's 1533-position model. The record is from RNAcentral.
AUUGAACGCUGGCGGCAUGCCUUACACACGCAAGUCGAACGGCAGCACGGGAGCAAUCCUGGUGGCGAGUGGCGAACGGGUGAGUAAAGUAUCGGAACGUGCCCAGUCGUGGGGGAUAACGUAGCGAAAGUUACGCUAAUACCGCAUACGAUCUAUGGAUGAAAGCGGGGGAUCGCAAGACCUCGCGCGAUUGGAGCGGCCGAUAUCAGAUUAGGUAGUUGGUGGGGUAAAGGCUCACCAAGCCGACGAUCUGUAGCUGGUCUGAGAGGACGACCAGCCAAACGGGGACGGGGACACGGCCCAGACUCCUACGGGAGGCAGCAGUGGGGAAUUUUGGACAAGGGGCGAAAGCCUGAUCCAGCCAUGCCGCGUGCAGGAUGAAGGCCUUCGGGUUGUAAACUGCUUUUGUACGGAACGAAAAGGUUUGGCCUAAUAAGCUGAGCUCAUGACGGUACCGUAAGAAUAAGCACCGGCUAACUACGUGCCAGCCGCCGCCGUAA